Molecule: ribosomal RNA, 253 nt
Filed under: uncultured bacterium
Lineage: Bacteria
Description: partial 16S ribosomal RNA
Rfam family: Bacterial small subunit ribosomal RNA
Source: RNAcentral
UACGUAGGGGGCUAGCGUUGUCCGGAAUCAUUGGGCGUAAAGCGCGUGUAGGCGGCCCGGUAAGUCCGCUGUGAAAGUCGGGGGCUCAACCCUCGAAAGCCGGUGGAUACUGUCGGGCUCGAGUACGGAAGAGGCGAGUGGAAUUCCUGGUGUAGCGGUGAAAUGCGAAGAUAUCAGGAGGAACACCAAUUGCGAAGGCAGCUCGCUGGGACGUUACUGACGCUGAGACGCGAAAGCGUGGGGAGCAAACAGG